AGCAGCCGCGGUAAUUCCAGCUCCAAUAGCGUAUAUUAAAGUUGUUGCAGUUAAAAAGCUCGUAGUUGAAUUUCGGGAUCAAAUUGUCGGUCGUGCCUCGGUACGUACUGGCGUUAUUGGUUCCUCCCUUCUGAAGAACCGCGAUGUCAUUAAUUUGGUGUCGCGGGGAAUCAGGACUGUUACUUUGAAAAAAUUAGAGUGUUUAAAGCAGGCUCGCGCUUGAAUACAUUAGCAUGGAAUAAUGAAAUAGGACGUUUGAUUCUAUUUUGUUGGUUUCUAGGAUCGACGUAAUGAUUAAUAGGGAUAGUUGGGGGCAUUAGUAUUCAAUUGUCGGAGGUGAAAUUCUUGGAUUUAUUGAAGACUAACUACUGCGAAAGCAUUUGCCAAGGAUGUUUUCAUUAAUCAAGAACGAAAGUUAGGGGAUCGAAGACGAUCAGAUACCGUCGUAGUCUUAACCAUAAACUAUGCCGACUAGGGAUCGGAUGAUGUUAAUUUUUUAAUGACUCAUUCGGCGCCUUAC
RNAcentral lists this ribosomal RNA (520 nucleotides) under uncultured Glomus. Its description in RNAcentral is "SSU rRNA". It matches the Rfam family "Eukaryotic small subunit ribosomal RNA", at positions 569 to 1091 of the family's 1831-position model. The record is from RNAcentral. Lineage: Eukaryota; Fungi; Glomeromycota; Glomeromycetes; Glomerales; Glomeraceae.